RNAcentral lists this small RNA (523 nucleotides) under Oryza sativa Japonica Group (Japanese rice). Its description in RNAcentral is "sRNA Os08g0228100". Lineage: Eukaryota; Viridiplantae; Streptophyta; Magnoliopsida; Poales; Poaceae. The record is from RNAcentral.
ACCAUGCAUCCGCGCGCCGCAACCCGUCUCCUCGCUCUCGCCGCCGGCGCGGCGCCGCCUCGACGACUCGAUCACAAUGACAGAACCAUCGAUCAGAGCGGCAAGAGCUAGGUGGACCAUGAAGGCUAUGCUAAUGUCAGCAAAUUAAGACCUUGAUUGCAAGCUAUUGCAAGACGAACAUUUCUUGCAUCUAGUGCAAAACCUGGAAAGUGUGUUUCCAUGCUUCGCCAUAAAAUGGGUGGACCACAAUAUCAGGAUUAUCACAAGCACUCUCCUUGUGAAACCGCAUGUGCUUGGCCGUUACUGGCUCCAUGUACAUCUGCUGCAUUCAUGGUAUAAAUGGUAAAUAACGUAUAACUUUGUGUGGCACUAGCUUUCAUUUUGUCCCUUGAUAUCCCUCUUCCACGGCUACGUAACAACUUUCGUUACAAAUAUCAUAUUUUUCUUUCUCUGAAUCCUCUUUGUAGUAUAUCAUGCAGUUAUUUAUGCAAACAUCUAUUUUGACAUAUGGCAUUUUUAAACC